Molecule: ribosomal RNA, 492 nt
Filed under: uncultured bacterium
Lineage: Bacteria
Description: partial 16S ribosomal RNA
Rfam family: Bacterial small subunit ribosomal RNA
Source: RNAcentral
AGUGAACGCUGGCGGUAGGCCUAACACAUGCAAGUCGAACGGCAGCACAGUAAGAGCUUGCUCUUACGGGUGGCGAGUGGCGGACGGGUGAGGAAUACAUCGGAAUCUACUUUUUCGUGGGGGAUAACGUAGGGAAACUUACGCUAAUACCGCAUACGACCUACGGGUGAAAGCAGGGGAUCUUCUGACCUUGCGCGAUUGAAUGAGCCGAUGUCGGAUUAGCUAGUUGGCGGGGUAAAGGCCCACCAAGGCGACGAUCCGCAGCUGGUCUGAGAGGAUGAUCAGCCACACUGGAACUGAGACACGGUCCAGACUCCUACGGGAGGCAGCAGUGGGGAAUAUUGGACAAUGGGCGCAAGCCUGAUCCAGCCAUACCGCGUGGGUGAAGAAGGCCUUCGGGUUGUAAAGCCCUUUUGUUGGGAAAGAAAAGCAGCAGGUUAAUACCCCGCUGUUCUGACGGUACCCAAAGAAUAAGCACCGGCUAACUUCGUG